GCUCAGGAUGAACGCUGGCGGCGUGCCUAAUACAUGCAAGUCGAACGAACUUCCGUUAAUUGAUUAUGACGUACUUGUACUGAUUGAGAUUUUAACACGAAGUGAGUGGCGAACGGGUGAGUAACACGUGGGUAACCUGCCCAGAAGUAGGGGAUAACACCUGGAAACAGAUGCUAAUACCGUAUAACAGAGAAAACCGCAUGGUUUUCUUUUAAAAGAUGGCUCUGCUAUCACUUCUGGAUGGACCCGCGGCGUAUUAGCUAGUUGGUGAGGUAAAGGCUCACCAAGGCAGUGAUACGUAGCCGACCUGAGAGGGUAAUCGGCCACAUUGGGACUGAGACACGGCCCAGACUCCUACGGGAGGCAGCAGUAGGGAAUCUUCCACAAUGGACGCAAGUCUGAUGGAGCAACGCCGCGUGAGUGAAGAAGGGUUUCGGCUCGUAAAGCUCUGUUGUUAAAGAAGAACGUGGGUAAGAGUAACUGUUUACCCAGUGACGGUAUUUAACCAGAAAGCCACGGCUAACUACGUGCCAGCAGCCGCGGUAAUACGUAGGUGGCAAGCGUUAUCCGGAUUUAUUGGGCGUAAAGCGAGCGCAGGCGGUCUUUUAAGUCUAAUGUGAAAGCCUUCGGCUCAACCGAAGAAGUGCAUUGGAAACUGGGAGACUUGAGUGCAGAAGAGGACAGUGGAACUCCAUGUGUAGCGGUGAAAUGCGUAGAUAUAUGGAAGAACACCAGUGGCGAAGGCGGCUGUCUGGUCUGCAACUGACGCUGAGGCUCGAAAGCAUGGGUAGCGAACAGGAUUAGAUACCCUGGUAGUCCAUGCCGUAAACGAUGAUUACUAAGUGUUGGAGGGUUUCCGCCCUUCAGUGCUGCAGCUAACGCAUUAAGUAAUCCGCCUGGGGAGUACGACCGCAAGGUUGAAACUCAAAAGAAUUGACGGGGGCCCGCACAAGCGGUGGAGCAUGUGGUUUAAUUCGAAGCUACGCGAAGAACCUUACCAGGUCUUGACAUCUUCUGACAGUCUAAGAGAUUAGAGGUUCCCUUCGGGGACAGAAUGACAGGUGGUGCAUGGUUGUCGUCAGCUCGUGUCGUGAGAUGUUGGGUUAAGUCCCGCAACGAGCGCAACCCUUAUUACUAGUUGCCAGCAUUAAGUUGGGCACUCUAGUGAGACUGCCGGUGACAAACCGGAGGAAGGUGGGGACGACGUCAAAUCAUCAUG
This 1219-nucleotide ribosomal RNA is filed under the name Pediococcus pentosaceus. RNAcentral's name for it is "bacterial SSU rRNA". It matches the Rfam family "Bacterial small subunit ribosomal RNA", at positions 22 to 1197 of the family's 1533-position model. The record is from RNAcentral. Lineage: Bacteria; Bacillati; Bacillota; Bacilli; Lactobacillales; Lactobacillaceae.